GCUCAUUAAAUCAGUUAUCGUUUAUUUGAUAGUACCUUACUACUUGGAUAACCGUGGUAAUUCUAGAGCUAAUACAUGCUAAAAACCCCAACUUCGGGAGGGGUGUAUUUAUUAGAUAAAAAACCAAUGCCCUUCGGGGCUCCUUGGUGAUUCAUGAUAACUUCUCAGAUCGCAUGGCUUUACGCCGGCGACGGUUCAUUCAAAUUUCUGCCCUAUCAACUUUCGAUGGUAAGGUAGUGGCUUACCAUGGUUUCAACGGGUAACGGGGAAUUAGGGUUCGAUUCCGGAGAGGGAGCCUGAGAAACGGCUACCACAUCCAAGGAAGGCAGCAGGCGCGCAAAUUACCCAAUUCCGAUACGGAGAGGUAGUGACAAUAAAUACUGAUACAGGGCUCUUUUGGGUCUUGUAAUUGGAAUGAGUACAAUUUAAACCUCUUAACGAGGAACAAUUGGAGGGCAAGUCUGGUGCCAGCAGCCGCGGUAAUUCCAGCUCCAAUAGCGUAUAUUAAAGUUGUUGCAGUUAAAAAGCUCGUAGUUGAACCUUUGGCCUGGCUGGCAGGUCCGCCUCACCGCGUGCACUUGUCCGGCCGGGCCUUUUCUUCUGGAGAACCGCAUGCCCUUCACUGGGUGUGUUGGGGACCAGGACUUUUACUUUGAAAAAAUUAGAGUGUUCAAAGCAGGCCUUUGCUCGAAUACGUUAGCAUGGAAUAAUAGAAUAGGACGUGCGGUCCUAUUUUGUUGGUUUCUAGGACCGCCGUAAUGAUUAAUAGGGACAGUCGGGGGCAUCAGUAUUCAAUUGUCAGAGGUGAAAUUCUUGGAUUUAUUGAAGACUAACUACUGCGAAAGCAUUUGCCAAGGAUGUUUUCAUUAAUCAGUGAACGAAAGUUAGGGGAUCGAAGACGAUCAGAUACCGUCGUAGUCUUAACCAUAAACUAUGCCGACUAGGGAUCGG
This 951-nucleotide ribosomal RNA is filed under the name Pseudopithomyces rosae. RNAcentral's name for it is "SSU rRNA". It matches the Rfam family "Eukaryotic small subunit ribosomal RNA", at positions 96 to 1056 of the family's 1831-position model. Lineage: Eukaryota; Fungi; Ascomycota; Dothideomycetes; Pleosporales; Didymosphaeriaceae. The record is from RNAcentral.